Molecule: non-coding RNA, 788 nt
Organism: Vicugna pacos (alpaca)
Lineage: Eukaryota; Metazoa; Chordata; Mammalia; Artiodactyla; Camelidae
Source: RefSeq, a predicted model, not a curated record
CGUGGUACUUGAUUACGGAAGCCCUAGCUGACUGAUACACAUUACCAAAGAAUGGAACGGAAGAGAUGCAUUCCAGGAACGUCUUCGAGUCAGAAUCAGGGAUUCUUGGGGAAUGCGGUAAGGAGGGAUGUGGGAGAGGGCAAAGCUAAGGAUGACUGAAGUUUUUUGCCUCAGUCUCCUGGCUGGAUGGAUGAGGGGCUGGUAACUGUGAACUGCAAUAGAGGAGAAGGUUGCAUUGUCCAGUAGUCAUCUCAUGUGUGUCUCCCCUUCAGCAAGCCUGGAAGUCCCUAGGAUGGGGGACUUCCUAGUGAAGGGCCAGACUAGUGUAUUGCUUUUAAAGUCCAUGCAGAUUAAAGGGGACUUGAUUUAGUUGAUUCAGUUUAUCACUGGUAAUAUUAUUAAUUACUCGAUUGACAAUGAUAGAAUCUCUUACAUAGCUCUGGAAAAAUGUUUACAAAUUAAAACUAUAUUGUCCUAGGCUUCCUUCCCCAGAGAAUGUGGAAUGUACAGUACUCCCAUCCUCAGGCUGUUUGAGUGGACUCAGUGGCUGAAUCACCCCAGCAAGAGUCUCUGGGGCUUCAUGAAACAGGGUGGUGUCCUGCUUCCUGGGAAAGACAAGACACCCCUCACCAUGGAAAGCAUCCCUACCAUUUCCUGUUCCCACUCAGACAUCAAAGUUGAUGGAUUUCGGAUAAAGAACCCUAUCUUUCUUCUUAUGACAACUUAUGUGGACCAUUGUGAAGGUCAUGGAAAGAUGAUGGAAUUUAAAGCAGCACUGAGACACUGCU